AAAAAAGAAGUUAUUCUAAAGUAGCUUGUAAAAAUGUGCAAGUAUAUUCUGAUUCUAUACGAUGUAGCUUGUAAACAUGGCAAACAGGAAACUAUUUUGAUGAACAUAAAUGAUAAAAAAAUGAUUAAUCUAUUACAACUUUAAAUUGUGAGUUCUAAUAGUUAUUUGCACUUUCAUGCAAGCACACACAGAGGUAUAAACUAAAAUCCAGUGGUUAUUUAUCGAUAUGGCCUUGAAAAUGUUGUAUUUCACACAAUUCUCUCAAGUAAUUACAGUUUUGGGUUCUGAAUGAUGUUUUUGGACCUUACAAUCAAAGAGAAGCUAUCCAACUCUGUGUCCAGUUGGACGUUGUCACACAUAUAUUCCUUUUUUUGGAAUAUAUAUUUUGCGGGCGGGGGAACUUGAUCCUGCAACUAGCAGGAUUCGUUCCAAUGUGGCUGCCCCUUUGGUUUUAUGGCCUCAAGAUAUACAUGUAAUUUUUUCUGUUACUUGAAAAAAAGAACAUAGAUAAAAUAUUAGUAUGGCCUUAUGGACAUGUAGAUACUUUGCUUUGUUAGUUGUUUAAUGGACAUGUCAUGGUCAUUUUAUUUGCCUGUCUAG
Long non-coding RNA from Tripterygium wilfordii, 600 nucleotides. RefSeq lists it as uncharacterized. NCBI's taxonomy places the organism in Eukaryota, Viridiplantae, Streptophyta, Magnoliopsida, Celastrales, Celastraceae. The record is from RefSeq and is a predicted model, not a curated record. The transcript is spliced from 2 exons.